GAGUUUUGAUCUUAUUAGUUUUAUACCUGUGUAACAGGAUACAUUAAAAUACGCAACCAACCGUCCAAUCAGAUGAAAGAGGUACGUACCCUAUCGUUGGGUAUUGUGCAAUCACGUGAUGCUCAUGUCGUCGUAUGACGGUUAAAUCUUUGGUUAGAAUUUUUGUUGUUGUUUUUACCUGUUUUUACAGUUUUUACUUUAUUUUUCUAUUUACAUCAGAUUUAUAUUUUGUAAUUGCCUAUCAGACAAUACGUAUUUAGAAAAAUAAUAAGAAUUAGGAUCGUGUUUUUUUUUAAAUCCUGGAUAUUAAUUGGAACCCUUGGUAACAUUACUGCUUUUGAUAUAAAAAGUGCAUUUUGAUUAUUUACUUGGGCUAGGAUAUUAAAAUAUCGGUUGGAUUGUACGACAUAAAUAGAUGUAGGUAUGAUUAUUUAUAUAUAUGUAUGUAUUUAUAAAGCUUACUAUCUGUUUUGCAUUUUCAGUUUUUGAUCAGACAUUUCAUUUUAUUUGUGAAAUGCCCACAAAAAAGCUUCCCAUGAUUCAACAUCAGUGUGUUUGCUGCAUAAUGGAUCAUUCCUGCUGAAUUUUUAGAUCAUUUGAAGACUACAUGGAAAAAACCAGAUAAUAUGUUACAUUUUCAUAGAAAUUGAUAGCGAGACAAUUUUAUAGGCAAGUGUUAGCAUUAUUCGAGGCACCAUCAAAGAAAGCAAUAAUAAUAUGCUUAGUCCCAGAGAUAUUACAGCUUAGUUAUUUUGCCCUACAGGAGAAAAACCAGAGUAGUUCACUCGUAAUUGCAUUUUCUCGGCUCCAGUUAAAAUGAACAAAGCUGGUUUUUCCUGUGGUCUUCAUUUGAAAUAACGUAAAUAAAUGUUUAUACAUAUGUAUGUGAUGAUUAAAUUGGUGUUAAGGAAAUAAAAAUGUCUUUCGAUAUUAAUAUAUAUUUUUCGAUAUUAAUAUAUACCUAGGUAUAGGUAUAUGUAUAUUUAUUUUGAAAUAAAUUACACUUUUAACAGUUUAAUGGAGUUUUUAAAGCCAGUUAUAAUAUUUAUAUUUUAAAAACUUGAAAUCAUAAUGUGGAUGUAAUCACGCAUUAAACCACAGACUAACUUAUAUAAGUCAAAAAGUAGAUUUUAGUGUUAACUUUAUAUAACUUGUAAGUAAAAUAAUAUAUAAAACAAAUAUGAAAAAACCAACAAUUCUAAUGUAUAUAUUAAAAUACAGUACAAUAAUAGGUAUCUGAUAUCCUCACUUAACGUAGAAUAAUAUUCUACCCAACUCAAUACUAUGUCCAACAUGAGUUUCAAAUAUAUCGGGCCCUAAUCGUUC
Long non-coding RNA from Sitophilus oryzae (rice weevil), 1326 nucleotides. RefSeq lists it as uncharacterized. The record is from RefSeq and is a predicted model, not a curated record. The transcript has 3 exons. Lineage: Eukaryota; Metazoa; Arthropoda; Insecta; Coleoptera; Curculionidae.